CAGUAGCCGCGGUAAUACGUAGGGUGCGAGCGUUAAUCGGAAUUACUGGGCGUAAAGCGUGCGCAGGCGGUUCGUUAAGACAGAUGUGAAAUCCCCGGGCUUAACCUGGGAACUGCAUUUGUGACUGACGGGCUAGAGUAUGGCAGAGGGGGGUAGAAUUCCACGUGUAGCAGUGAAAUGCGUAGAGAUGUGGAGGAAUACCGAUGGCGAAUGCAGCCCCCUGGGCCAAUACUGACGCUCAUGCACGAAAGCGUGGGGAGCAAACAGGAUUAGAUACCCCCGUAGUCCCUGUCUCUUAUAC
Molecule: ribosomal RNA, 301 nt
Filed under: uncultured bacterium
Lineage: Bacteria
Description: partial 16S ribosomal RNA
Rfam family: Bacterial small subunit ribosomal RNA
Source: RNAcentral